UUUNGAUGAACAUGUCAAUUAAUUUUUGUGAAUGAGCGUUUGAUUUAGGGUUCGAUCCCUGGCGGUGUUGUGUUUUUUAACAAAUUAAAUAGAUUUGUAUGUUCAUCAGUUAUAUUGUAUGUUCAAAGAAUUUAUUGAUAUGUUUAUUCAUAUCAUUUCUUACGAAAAUCAACUUCUCAAUAGAACCAUAUAUAUAUAUAGCGCUUUUGAAAUAGCUAGCCAUUUUGAAGAAGGAAAUAGAAUAUUUGGCCACUGAUGAGGAGUAAAAUAUGUGUGGGGCAAACUUGGCAGCAACGAUGAUUCUAGCCCUGGCAAGGGCGGAGUGAAGGAAAGUCUGAACAAUAUCCCUUGUGAAAAGCACGUGAGCCAGAAGCCCCCGGAGCCACUAUGAAGUAAUUCUACCACGUAUGGAGUCAGGGCUGACACAACCAGAGGAGAAACACGGAACGAAGGCCAGACCUGUGUGAGAACAUGGCAAGGAUAACGUGCUUCACCAAACAUGGUUGACAUAUCCAUGAAGAAAAGUCCAGGGCUGGCAGCAGCGUUGGAAAGGGGCUGAAAGCGUGUGAACCACUGACACCUUUAUCAAAGAAUCUUUCUAACUAACAUAGGGGUCGUUAUCAGCUAGGAAUUUACUGAUUUACCCUCAUUGUAAACCUCUAUAUAUACGGGAUAUGCUCAUUAUUGUAUCGGACGCUAUUGUUAAUACUACACUUUUCUCUCUCGUUUGCA
Molecule: long non-coding RNA, 732 nt
Filed under: Salvia miltiorrhiza (redroot sage)
Lineage: Eukaryota; Viridiplantae; Streptophyta; Magnoliopsida; Lamiales; Lamiaceae
Description: long non-coding RNA (SMIL_LNC002787)
Source: RNAcentral